CGAACGGGUGAGUAACACGUGGGCAAUCUGCCCUUCACUCUGGGACAAGCCCUGGAAACGGGGUCUAAUACCGGAUACUGACCCUCGCAGGCAUCUGCGAGGUUCGAAAGCUCCGGCGGUGAAGGAUGAGCCCGCGGCCUAUCAGCUUGUUGGUGAGGUAAUGGCUCACCAAGGCGACGACGGGUAGCCGGCCUGAGAGGGCGACCGGCCACACUGGGACUGAGACACGGCCCAGACUCCUACGGGAGGCAGCAGUGGGGAAUAUUGCACAAUGGGCGAAAGCCUGAUGCAGCGACGCCGCGUGAGGGAUGACGGCCUUCGGGUUGUAAACCUCUUUCAGCAGGGAAGAAGCGAAAGUGACGGUACCUGCAGAAGAAGCGCCGGCUAACUACGUGCCAGCAGCCGCGGUAAUACGUAGGGCGCAAGCGUUGUCCGGAAUUAUUGGGCGUAAAGAGCUCGUAGGCGGCUUGUCACGUCGGUUGUGAAAGCCCGGGGCUUAACCCCGGGUCUGCAGUCGAUACGGGCAGGCUAGAGUUCGGUAGGGGAGAUCGGAAUUCCUGGUGUAGCGGUGAAAUGCGCAGAUAUCAGGAGGAACACCGGUGGCGAAGGCGGAUCUCUGGGCCGAUACUGACGCUGAGGAG
RNAcentral lists this ribosomal RNA (641 nucleotides) under Streptomyces sp. I13A-01706. RNAcentral's name for it is "bacterial SSU rRNA". It matches the Rfam family "Bacterial small subunit ribosomal RNA", at positions 99 to 753 of the family's 1533-position model. Lineage: Bacteria; Bacillati; Actinomycetota; Actinomycetes; Kitasatosporales; Streptomycetaceae. The record is from RNAcentral.